GAUGAACGCUGGCGGCGUGCUUAACACAUGCAAGUCGAACGGAAAGGCCCUGCUUUCGUGGGGUGCUCGAGUGGCGAACGGGUGCGUAACACGUGAGUAACCUGCCCUUGACUUUGGGAUAACUUCAGGAAAGUGGGGCUAAUACCGGAUAGGAGCUCCUGUUGCAUGGAGGGGGUUGGAACGUUUCGGCGGGUGGGGAUGGACUCGCGGCUUAUCAGCUUGUUGGUGGGGUAGUGGCUUACCAAGGCUUUGACGGGUCGCCGGCCUGGGAGGGUGACCGGCCACCUUGGGACUGAGAUACGGCCCAGACUCCUACGGUAGGCAGCAGUGGGGAAUAUUGCACAAUGGGCGGAAGCCUGAUGCAGCAACGCCGCGUGCGUGAUGACGGCCUUCGGGUUGUAAACCGCUUUCGCCUGUGACGAAGCGUGAGUGACGGUAAUGGGUAAAGAAGCACCGGCUAACUACGUG
Molecule: ribosomal RNA, 468 nt
Filed under: uncultured bacterium
Lineage: Bacteria
Description: partial 16S ribosomal RNA
Rfam family: Bacterial small subunit ribosomal RNA
Source: RNAcentral